CGCCUUGCCAGCCCGCUCAGAAACUUAAAGGAAUUGACGGGGCCGCACAAGCGGUGGAGUAUGUGGUUUAAUCGAUGCAACGCGAAGAACCUUACCUGGUCUUGACAUCCCGGAGACCCUUAGGAAACUAGGGGGUGCUUCCAUCUGGAAGAAUCUGGAGACAGGUGCUGCAUGGCUGUCGUCAGCUCGUGUCGUGAGAUGUUGGGUUAAGUCCCGCAACGAGCGCAACCCUUGCCUUUAGUUGCCAGCAGUUCGGCUGGGCACUCUAAAGGGACUGCCGGUGUUAAACCGGAGGAAGGUGGGGAUGACGUCAAGUCCUCAUGGCCUUUAUGACCAGGGCUACACACGUACUACAAUGGCCGAUACAAAGGGCAGCGACACUGCGAGGUGAAGCCAAUCCCGUAAAAUCGGUCUCAGUCCGGAUUGGAGUCUGCAACUCGACUCCAUGAAGUUGGAAUCGCUAGUAAUCGUGGAUCAGCAUGCCACGGUGAAUACGUUCCCGGGCCUU
RNAcentral lists this ribosomal RNA (508 nucleotides) under uncultured Desulfobulbus sp. RNAcentral's name for it is "bacterial SSU rRNA". It matches the Rfam family "Bacterial small subunit ribosomal RNA", at positions 903 to 1382 of the family's 1533-position model. The record is from RNAcentral. Lineage: Bacteria; Pseudomonadati; Thermodesulfobacteriota; Desulfobulbia; Desulfobulbales; Desulfobulbaceae.